RNAcentral lists this ribosomal RNA (1081 nucleotides) under Clostridium sporogenes. RNAcentral's name for it is "16S ribosomal RNA". It matches the Rfam family "Bacterial small subunit ribosomal RNA", at positions 86 to 1188 of the family's 1533-position model. Lineage: Bacteria; Bacillati; Bacillota; Clostridia; Eubacteriales; Clostridiaceae. The record is from RNAcentral.
AGUGGAUUAGCGGCGGACGGGUGAGUAACACGUGGGUAACCUGCCUCAAAGUGGGGGAUAGCCUUCCGAAAGGAAGAUUAAUACCGCAUAACAUAAGAGAAUCGCAUGAUUUUCUUAUCAAAGAUUUAUUGCUUUGAGAUGGACCCGCGGCGCAUUAGCUAGUUGGUAAGGUAACGGCUUACCAAGGCAACGAUGCGUAGCCGACCUGAGAGGGUGAUCGGCCACAUUGGAACUGAGACACGGUCCAGACUCCUACGGGAGGCAGCAGUGGGGAAUAUUGCGCAAUGGGGGAAACCCUGACGCAGCAACGCCGCGUGGGUGAUGAAGGUCUUCGGAUUGUAAAGCCCUGUUUUCUGGGACGAUAAUGACGGUACCAGAGGAGGAAGCCACGGCUAACUACGUGCCAGCAGCCGCGGUAAUACGUAGGUGGCGAGCGUUGUCCGGAUUUACUGGGCGUAAAGGGUGCGUAGGCGGAUGUUUAAGUGGGAUGUGAAAUCCCCGGGCUUAACCUGGGGGCUGCAUUCCAAACUGGAUAUCUAGAGUGCAGGAGAGGAAAGCGGAAUUCCUAGUGUAGCGGUGAAAUGCGUAGAGAUUAGGAAGAACACCAGUGGCGAAGGCGGCUUUCUGGACUGUAACUGACGCUGAGGCACGAAAGCGUGGGUAGCAAACAGGAUUAGAUACCCUGGUAGUCCACGCCGUAAACGAUGGAUACUAGGUGUAGGGGGUAUCAACUCCCCCUGUGCCGCAGUUAACACAAUAAGUAUCCCGCCUGGGGAGUACGGUCGCAAGAUUAAAACUCAAAGGAAUUGACGGGGGCCCGCACAAGCRGCGGAGCAUGUGGUUUAAUUCGAAGCAACGCGAAGAACCUUACCUGGACUUGACAUCCCUUGCAUAGCCUAGAGAUAGGUGAAGCCCUUCGGGGCAAGGAGACAGGUGGUGCAUGGUUGUCGUCAGCUCGUGUCGUGAGAUGUUAGGUUAAGUCCUGCAACGAGCGCAACCCUUGUUAUUAGUUGCUACCAUUAAGUUGAGCACUCUAAUGAGACUGCCUGGGUAACCAGGAGGAAGGUGGGGAUGACGUCAA